Molecule: ribosomal RNA, 254 nt
Filed under: uncultured bacterium
Lineage: Bacteria
Description: partial 16S ribosomal RNA
Rfam family: Bacterial small subunit ribosomal RNA
Source: RNAcentral
UACGUAGGGUGCGAGCGUUGUCCGGAAUUAUUGGGCGUAAAGGGCUCGUAGGCGGUUUGUCGCGUCGGGAGUGAAAACCAGGUGCUUAACACCUGGCUUGCUUUCGAUACGGGCAGACUAGAGGUAUGCAGGGGAGACUGGAAUUCCUGGUGUAGCGGUGGAAUGCGCAGAUAUCAGGAGGAACACCGAUGGCGAAGGCAGGUCUGCUGGGCUGACACUGACGCUCAUGCACGAAAGCGUGGGGAGCAAACAGG